CUUCAGCGACCCCAGCCACAGCGGCACGGCCCGGUCCUGGCCGUAGGUCGCCAGCACCGCCUGCGCCUC
This 69-nucleotide antisense RNA is filed under the name Actinokineospora cianjurensis. Its description in RNAcentral is "ASpks TB sRNA". It matches the Rfam family "ASpks TB sRNA". The record is from RNAcentral. Lineage: Bacteria; Bacillati; Actinomycetota; Actinomycetes; Pseudonocardiales; Pseudonocardiaceae.